AGUUAUUUAGCUUAUAUAAAGCUGUGCUUUGAAAGCACAAGAAAGAGAAAUUUAAUAACUU
This 61-nucleotide transfer RNA is filed under the name Mukaria splendida. RNAcentral describes it as "tRNA-Ser". Lineage: Eukaryota; Metazoa; Arthropoda; Insecta; Hemiptera; Cicadellidae. The record is from RNAcentral.